GUUAAGCGACUAAGCGUACACGGUGGAUGCCCUGGCAGUCAGAGGCGAUGAAGGACGUGCUAAUCUGCGAUAAGCGUCGGUAAGGUGAUAUGAACCGUUAUAACCGGCGAUUUCCGAAUGGGGAAACCCAGUGUGAUUCGUCACACUAUCAUUAACUGAAUCCAUAGGUUAAUGAGGCGAACCGGGGGAACUGAAACAUCUAAGUACCCCGAGGAAAAGAAAUCAACCGAGAUUCCCCCAGUAGCGGCGAGCGAACGGGGAGCAGCCCAGAGCCUGAAUCAGUGUGUGUGUUAGUGGAAGCGUCUGGAAAGGCGCGCGAUACAGGGUGACAGCCCCGUACACAAAAAUGCACAUGCUGUGAGCUCGAUGAGUAGGGCGGGACACGUGGUAUCCUGUCUGAAUAUGGGGGGACCAUCCUCCAAGGCUAAAUACUCCUGACUGACCGAUAGUGAACCAGUACCGUGAGGGAAAGGCGAAAAGAACCCCGGCGAGGGGAGUGAAAAAGAACCUGAAACCGUGUACGUACAAGCAGUGGGAGCACGCUUAGGCGUGUGACUGCGUACCUUUUGUAUAAUGGGUCAGCGACUUAUAUUCUGUAGCAAGGUUAACCGAAUAGGGGAGCCGAAGGGAAACCGAGUCUUAACUGGGCGUUAAGUUGCAGGGUAUAGACCCGAAACCCGGUGAUCUAGCCAUGGGCAGGUUGAAGGUUGGGUAACACUAACUGGAGGACCGAACCGACUAAUGUUGAAAAAUUAGCGGAUGACUUGUGGCUGGGGGUGAAAGGCCAAUCAAACCGGGAGAUAGCUGGUUCUCCCCGAAAGCUAUUUAGGUAGCGCCUCGUGAAUUCAUCUCCGGGGGUAGAGCACUGUUUCGGCAAGGGGGUCAUCCCGACUUACCAACCCGAUGCAAACUGCGAAUACCGGAGAAUGUUAUCACGGGAGACACACGGCGGGUGCUAACGUCCGUCGUGAAGAGGGAAACAACCCAGACCGCCAGCUAAGGUCCCAAAGUCAUGGUUAAGUGGGAAACGAUGUGGGAAGGCCCAGACAGCCAGGAUGUUGGCUUAGAAGCAGCCAUCAUUUAAAGAAAGCGUAAUAGCUCACUGGUCGAGUCGGCCUGCGCGGAAGAUGUAACGGGGCUAAACCAUGCACCGAAGCUGCGGCAGCGACGCU
Molecule: ribosomal RNA, 1172 nt
Filed under: Escherichia coli
Lineage: Bacteria; Pseudomonadati; Pseudomonadota; Gammaproteobacteria; Enterobacterales; Enterobacteriaceae
Description: partial 23S ribosomal RNA
Rfam family: Bacterial large subunit ribosomal RNA
Source: RNAcentral